This 73-nucleotide transfer RNA is filed under the name Candidatus Epulonipiscium sp. RNAcentral's name for it is "tRNA-Val". It matches the Rfam family "tRNA". Rfam says of the family: Transfer RNA (tRNA) molecules are approximately 80 nucleotides in length. Their secondary structure includes four short double-helical elements and three loops (D, anti-codon, and T loops). Further hydrogen bonds mediate the characteristic L-shaped molecular structure. tRNAs have two regions of fundamental functional importance: the anti-codon, which is responsible for specific mRNA codon recognition, and the 3' end, to which the tRNAs corresponding amino acid is attached (by aminoacyl-tRNA synthetases). tRNAs cope with the degeneracy of the genetic code in two manners: having more than one tRNA (with a specific anti-codon) for a particular amino acid; and 'wobble' base-pairing, i.e. permitting non-standard base-pairing at the 3rd anti-codon position. Lineage: Bacteria; Bacillati; Bacillota; Clostridia; Lachnospirales; Lachnospiraceae. The record is from RNAcentral.
GGUCAAUUAACUCAGCUGGUAGAGUGUCUCCUUGACGUGGAGGAAGUCGGGGGUUCGAGUCCCUCAUUGACCA